RNAcentral lists this long non-coding RNA (1411 nucleotides) under Mus pahari (shrew mouse). Its description in RNAcentral is "predicted gene 14635 (MGP_PahariEiJ_G0006473.1)". The record is from RNAcentral. Lineage: Eukaryota; Metazoa; Chordata; Mammalia; Rodentia; Muridae.
ACUAGUCGCCAGAGCUAGCUAGCAGCUGUGCUCACAGCAGAGAGGACUACAAUGCCAGGGGCUUGCAAUGAGGGAAUGGAGAGCAGCCUUCCCCACCCGAAGGCACAAAGAGGCCAGAUUUUGUCAACGAGGCACAAGCUAGAGACAACUGGCAAGAGAAAAUCACAACUGACAAAAGGUCCCCAUCAGGAUGAACCUGGAACACCGAAGCCUGAUGUGAAUGAUAUGUCUGUUUAGGGUUCUAGUUCAAUCAACUAUGAUUACCCAAUUACUAGACCCCAUUUAAGAAGCACCCUUCAGUCUCUUCUAACCAGGGAGCCAGCCUCUGAGAAGUCUCCUUGGAAGAUGAUGGUCUUGCUUCCUAGCUCAUUCAACAAACUGAAGCCAUCCCCAGCCUCUGCCACCACACCCUCCAGCCUGCCUUCCCACCUUCCACUGAGAAUGAACUGUCACGUCCCAGCCAACACCGUCCCCACUCAUCCAUCCGUGCACAGCUGGCUCCCGCGGUCCUUUCCCUUCCCUGCACAGCCAAUUAUUCCCUCCGCUCUGCUGCACUCUGCUGCAAAUGAACCUCUCAUUUUUUCCCAUCUCAAAAAUUAUAGCCUGCGCGCGGCAGCACACACCUAUGAUUCCCAGCUCUUAGAAGGCAGACUGGAAAGAGGAGGAGUUCAAGGUCGUCCUUAGCUACAUAGCAAGCCUGAGGCCAGCCUGAGCUAUGUGAGACCCUAUGUAAGUACAAUUGGAACCUAACUGCUGAGCAGAGCAAAGGGGUAAGAAAAGCUGAGAUGGUUGAGCAGUUCUAACCACCCCCAUCCAGAACACAGCCUUUGAUCCUCGAAAGAAAUGCUUUCCAGAGUGUACACCUACUCAGUGGACCAGGAGACUGUUUCAGGAGCUGAGAAGUAGAACAAACAGAUAAAUAUUUGCAUCAAGCACUUUACCCACUGAGCUGCCUCAGCAGCCUAGUGUGUCUCCUUUUCAUCAUGAGACAUAAAACAUAUAGCAAAGUGAUGAGAACAGUAAUGUUCUCAUGGCCCAGAAACACUAUGCUUUCAUACAUGCCAGAAGGAAGUCAGAGUUAGGACUCAAAAAAAAAAAAAAAUGUGGUCUCGUUGCAUGGUAGCAGCUUUAUUCACAAACAGUAGAAGUGUGGAAGCGGCCAGCAUCCUUCCACAGAGAGCAAAGUAGACUAUAGCCACAGUGUGGAAUAUUAUUCAGUCUCACAAAAGAAUGAACUGCUGGUAUGUGUUACAGCAUGGAUCUUCAAAUCUCCAUGUUGGCAACAUUUUUAGUGUACUUGACAUUGCUGUACAAUUCAAUAAUUCACUCCUUUUUGGUGGUAAGAUGACAUUGUAUACCAUGCCUGUGCCUGCUCCUUUGUCUCUUUUUAAAUUAUUUACACUUGUUUACC